This 203-nucleotide unclassified non-coding RNA is filed under the name Hevea brasiliensis (rubber tree). The record is from RNAcentral. Lineage: Eukaryota; Viridiplantae; Streptophyta; Magnoliopsida; Malpighiales; Euphorbiaceae.
AUUGAUCUCAUCUCCGUUCAAUGCCUUCAAUUCCGUCGCCACCGCCAAAUCCGGCGUCCGCCGCCAACUGUCGCAUCUCCGUCUUCUCUCUUAUCCUUCAGUUUCCUUGAAAUGCAGAUGCUCAUCUUCCUUUGCUCGUGCCUUUUCAGGUGUAAGAGCUCAGUUGGAAACUACUGAGCGAGCAGUUUAUGUGGAACCUCCCG